Non-coding RNA from Paramuricea clavata, 1277 nucleotides. The record is from the annotation of a GenBank genome assembly. NCBI's taxonomy places the organism in Eukaryota, Metazoa, Cnidaria, Anthozoa, Malacalcyonacea, Plexauridae.
UCGAAGUCUCAAAAGACUAAUCGCCAGACGAGGUCGACCUUCUCUUAUCUACUCGGACAACGCGAAGACGUUCCAAGCGGCUGCUUCAUGGUUAAACAAGGUGAUGAAAGACGAGAAAUUCCACAGUGAACUGAGCAAGUAUGAGAUCAAGUGGAGAUUCAAUUUGUCAAUUUGAACGAUUAAUCGGAAUUUUCAAAUGUGCUUUUUACAAGGUUAUCGGCAAAGGACUUUUGACAUUUGAAGAGCUGUCGGAAGUUGUUCUAGAUGUAGAAAUCUGUAUGAAUAACCGGCCACUAAGCUACUUAGAGGAUGAUAUUGAAUUUCCUAUUCUUACACCAAAUUCCUUUGUGCUACAACAGUCGAAUGUUGUGCCAGAGCUAGAAUGUUAUCAUAUUGAGGACGGUGAUCUACGAAAGAGGGCAAGGUACUUGCAAAGCGUAAAGAACCAUUUAUGGAGACGAUGGCAAAGAGAGUACCUGACGAGUUUACGGCAGCGUCAUCAGACCAACAGCAAGUCAACUACAGUUGGUCCCAAUGAAGGAAAUAUUGUGUUGAUCAAAGGCGACGAGAAGAACAGAAACAAGUGGAAAAUGGGAAAAGUUACGAAGUUAAUUCGUGGGAAAGAUAACGUUGUCAGGGGAGUUAAACUUCAAUGCGCUAAAUCGACUAUAGAAAGACCGAUUCAACUGAUUUAUCCCUUGGAACUGGAAUGCGACGUGGGGAAAUGCGAGACGAAAUUGAAUACCAAUGCAAAAGAAUUCAAGCCAAGACGACAAGCAGCGGUCAAAGCAGAAGCAAAGAAUAAGGAACUGUUUGAACGGGAUGAGAAGGACGAAUGACAAUUAAACAUUGAGACAUCGGGGUUUACUAGUAUAACAUGCGACUCCUUAUGAGUCACAUGGGGGGAGGGUGUUGGAAAUUGACGUUAUUUUGCUUUAUACAUUAGUGUAUUUUGAAGGACAACAAUGGACAUUUAGAGUUAGUAGGGGAUUGCUGAACACGUGCGAGAAAACAGGGGGGAGUGAACAAUGUUGGGACUGUGACUUGGGAUUUUAAAACAGCGAGUUGGGAGUAUAGUUUAUUGCUAUUAAAUUAUAAAAUACAUUUCGUGUUCCGUACUUAUUUGGAGGCACAAUUUCGGAAUAGUAUCUUUCGCCUUUCUGAAAGGGUAGGUCAUAAUUUUUCAGCACCAAUUUAAGGGUGGGCUACAAAUUUUUGAGCAGCUAUUAAGGGGUAGGCUACCAAAAUUCAGCCCUCGAAAACGAGGUCGGCAUUCG